Molecule: ribosomal RNA, 229 nt
Filed under: uncultured bacterium
Lineage: Bacteria
Description: partial 16S ribosomal RNA
Rfam family: Bacterial small subunit ribosomal RNA
Source: RNAcentral
UCCGUAGGCGGAUAAUUAAGUCAGAGGUGAAAUCCCACAGCUUAACUGUGGAACUGCCUUUGAUACUGGUUGUCUUGAAUUAUAGUGAAGUAGAUAGAAUGUGUAGUGUAGCGGUGAAAUGCUUAGAUAUUACACAGAAUACCGAUUGCGAAGGCAGUUUACUAACUAUAUAUUGACGCUAAUGGACGAAAGCGUGGGGAGCGAACAGGAUUAGAUACCCUGGUAGUCC